AGUAAAGUACCCUGGAGAAGGGAAAUAAAAGGGAUAGCAGGAAUGUGUAAAGGUGGAGAGAUCAGUCAGAACAGGCCAUAGAAUAAUUAGCAGUAAAGUACCCUGGAGAAGGGAAAUAAAAGGGAUAGCAGGAAUGUGUAAAGGUGGAGAGAUCAGUCAGAACAGGCCAUAGAAUAAUUAGCAGUAAAGUACCCUGGAGAAGAGAAAUAAAAGGGAUAGCAGGAAUGUGUAAAGUACCCUGGAGAAGAGAAAUAAAAGGGAUAGCAGGAAUGUGUAAAGGUGGAGAGAUCAGUCAGAACAGGCCAUAGAAUAAUUAGCAGUAAAGUACCCUGGAGAAGAGAAAUAAAAGGGAUAGCAGGAAUGUGUAAAGUACCCUGGAGAAGGGAAAUAAAAGGGAUAGCAGGAAUGUGUAAAGGUGGAGAGAUCAGUCAGAACAGGCCAUAGAAUAAUUAGCAGUAAAGUACCCUGGAGAAGAGAAAUAAAAGGGAUAGCAGGAAUGUGUAAAGGUGGAGAGAUCAGUCAGAACAGGCCAUAGAAUAAUUAGCAGUAAAGUACCCUGGAGAAGAGAAAUAAAAGGGAUAGCAGGAAUGUGUAAAGUACCCUGGAGAAGGGAAAUAAAAGGGAUAGCAGGAAUGUGUAAAGUACCCUGGAGAAGAGAAAUAAAAGGGAUAGCAGGAAUGUGUAAAGUACCCUGGAGAAGAGAAAUAAAAGGGAUAGCAGGAAUGUGUAAAGUACCCUGGAGAAGAGAAAUAAAAGGGAUAGCAGGAAUGUGUAAAGGUGGAGAGAUCAGUCAGAACAGGCCAUAGAAUAAUUAGCAGUAAAGUACCCUGGAGAAGAGAAAUAAAAGGGAUAGCAGGAAUGUGUAAAGGUGGAGAGAUCAGUCAGAACAGGCCAUAGAAUAAUUAGCAGUAAAGUACCCUGGAGAAGGGAAAUAAAAGGGAUAGCAGGAAUGUGUAAAGGUGGAGAGAUCAGUCAGAACAGGCCAUAGAAUAAUUAGCAGUAAAGUACCCUGGAGAAGAGAAAUAAAAGGGAUAGCAGGAAUGUGUAAAGUACCCUGGAGAAGAGAAAUAAAAGGGAUAGCAGGAAUGUGUAAAGUACCCUGGAGAAGGGAAAUAAAAGGGAUAGCAGGAAUGUGUAAAGGUGGAGAGAUCAGUCAGAACAGGCCAUAGAAUAAUUAGCAGUAAAGUACCCUGGAGAAGAGAAAUAAAAGGGAUAGCAGGAAUGUGUAAAGUACCCUGGAGAAGGGAAAUAAAAGGGAUAGCAGGAAUGUGUAAAGGUGGAGAGAUCAGUCAGAACAGGCCAUAGAAUAAUUAGCAGUAAAGUACCCUGGAGAAGAGAAAUAAAAGGGAUAGCAGGAAUGUGUAAAGGUGGAGAGAUCAGUCAGAACAGGCCAUAGAAUAAUUAGCAGUAAAGUACCCUGGAGAAGGGAAA
Protopterus annectens (West African lungfish) is the source of this 1431-nucleotide long non-coding RNA. RefSeq lists it as uncharacterized. The record is from RefSeq and is a predicted model, not a curated record. The transcript has 10 exons. Lineage: Eukaryota; Metazoa; Chordata; Ceratodontiformes; Protopteridae.